UUUCCGUAGGUGAACCUGCGGAAGGAUCAUUAAAAAAUUGGACUCCAUUGGUGAGUUCAUUAAUAAUCCCUACCCUUUGUGAAUUUGUUUGUUUGAAUAAUUUUUUUUCCAAAAAAAAUUAUUGAAUGUCUUUCCUUGUUUUGGUGGAGCUUGUAAAGUGAAACCAGGCAGGGGAAUGGCAAACAAUAAUUAUUUUUGAAAAAGACCUUUUUUUAAAAUUAAACUUUUUGUAUUCAUUUGUCUAAAAUUAAUUUUUAUAAUAUAAAAACAACUUUUGACAAUGGAUCUCUUGGUUCUCGCAACGAUGAAGAACGCAGCAAAAUGCGAUAAGUAGUGUGAAUUGCAGAAUACGUGAAUCAUCGAAUCUUCGAACGCAUAUUGCACUUUUUUAGUUUACUAAAAAAGUAUGUCUGUUUGAGUAUCAGUAAAAUAUUCUCAUAAAAAACAUUGUUUUUUUUAUGGUUAUGAGUGUUUUACAACGAUAACAAGUUGUUUCACUUUAAAUUCUUUGUUAUCAAAAAAAUCAUUAAAAGCUAAUUUUAAAGAUUUUUUAAAAUUGGAUAAAAUUUUCCCGUAAAAAGGAAUAACCUAAACAAUUUUAAAAAAUUAAAAUUGGUUUGAUUUUUUUUGAAACCCAAAGGAAAAAAAAACGAAAUUAACUUGAUCUCAAAUCAGAUAAGAGUACCCGCUGAACUUAAGCAUAUCAAUAAGCGGAGGAAAAGAAACUAACUAGGAUUCCCUCAGUAACGGCGAGUGAAGCGGGAAGAGCUCAAAUUUGAAAUCUUCAAGGUUUUACCUUGACGAAUUGUAGUUUAAAGAAGUGUUUUCUGUUGGAGUUUUGGUAAAAGUUCUUUGGAAAAGGACAUCAUAGAGGGUGAGAAUCCCGUAUUUGACCAUUAUCUCCAGCUUUGUGAUACACUUUCAAAGAGUCGGAUUGUUUGGGAAUGCAGUCCAAAAUGGGUGGUAAAUUUCAUCUAAAGCUAAAUACUGGCGAGAGACCGAUAGCGAACAAGUACCGUGAGGGAAAGAUGAAAAGAACUUUGAAAAGAGAGUUAAACAGUACGUGAAAUUGUCAAAAGGGAAGCGUUUGACACCAGUGUUGUUUUCUCGAAAAUCAAUUAAAAAAGGCCGGAUUUUGUGUUGUAUUGACUUUAUCAGCUUUCUGCACUCUUUUCUUGUCUUUUUUAAUGCACUUUUCGUUUAACAAGUCAACAUCAAUCUCUUUUGUUGUAAAAGGGUCAUUGGAAGGUGGCUUUCUUUUCGGAGAAAGUGUUUAUAGCCUUUGGCCUCUGCAAUCGGAGAGAUUGAGGUCUGCAGCGUAGAUCCUUCGGGGUUAGAUACACUUGUGCUAAGUUAUAGCCUUUCAUAGACAACUUGUUGACUGUGAUCAGUCAUGUAGCUUACUCGCUUAUGCUAUUUUACCUACGCUUAGGAUGUUGAG
Molecule: unclassified non-coding RNA, 1441 nt
Filed under: uncultured Neocallimastigales
Lineage: Eukaryota; Fungi; Neocallimastigomycota; Neocallimastigomycetes; Neocallimastigales
Description: partial contains small subunit ribosomal RNA, internal transcribed spacer 1, 5.8S ribosomal RNA, internal transcribed spacer 2, and large subunit ribosomal RNA
Rfam family: Eukaryotic large subunit ribosomal RNA (bases 662-1441)
Source: RNAcentral